RNA transcript from Peromyscus californicus insignis, 2544 nucleotides. It is a transcript of the gene named archaelysin family metallopeptidase 2, with no coding region annotated. The transcript has 10 exons. Lineage: Eukaryota; Metazoa; Chordata; Mammalia; Rodentia; Cricetidae. The record is from RefSeq and is a predicted model, not a curated record.
GGCGUGGUGCGCCGGCGCGAGACGCAUGCGCACAAGGACCGCCGUGGGAGCGGGAGGGCGGCCUGAGGGCCUGUCCGGGGUGAAGGCGCCCUCCACACCCCUUUGCCAGACAUGUCUGUCAUUAGAAAAACUUAAGUGGAAAAAGCAACUGGAGACUUCUCCUUUAUAAAGCCUCGUGGUGGAACAUCUGCUUGACCAUAUCAGUGGGAGGAUGAAGGUGCCACACAGGGACUCGAAAUGAGUGGAAAAGGCCCGUCAGCAUGAAGGUGCUACAGCACUCUGAACACACACUGAAAACCGCUCUCAUCUCUCAGAACCCAGUGCUUGUGUCACAGUAUGAGAAGUUAGAUGCUAGGGAACGACGUUUGAUGAAUGAAGCCUUCCAGCCAUCCAGUAAUCUCUUUGGACCAAUUACUGUGCAUUCACAGUCAGAUUGGAUCACCUCCCACCCUGAAGUUCCCCAGGAUUUCGAACAGUUUUUCACUGAUCGCCACAGAAACAUACCCUGUCCGGAGAAACACAUUAUCUAUAUGCAGUCCAUUGGCUCUCUCGGCAACACCAGAGUUAUCAGUGAAGAAUAUAUUAAAUGGCUCAAGGGCUACUGUGAAGCAUUUUUCUAUGGUUUGACUGUAAAAUUCUUAGAACCAGUUCCAGUCUCUGCAACGAAGUGUUCCUUUAGAGUGAACGAGCACACACACAACCUACAAAUCCAUGCAGGGCACAUCUUGGCAUUCUUGAAAAAGAAGAAACCCAAAGAUGCCUUCUGCAUCGUGGGGAUAACAAUGAUCGAUCUUUACCCACGUGACUCCUGGAAUUUUGUCUUUGGACAGGCCUCUUUGACAGAUGGUGUAGGGAUAUUCAGCUUUGCGAGGUACGGCACGGAUUUCUACAGCUCCCGGUAUGAAGGCAAAGUGAGCAAGCCCCAGCGAACAUCUUCCAGUGACUAUUCUGUUUUUGAUAACUAUUACAGUCCUGAGAUCACUAGUAUUUUGCUGUGGCGAUCCUGUAAGACUUUAACCCAUGAGAUCGGACACAUUUUUGGACUGCGACACUGCCAGUGGCUUGCCUGCUUAAUGCAAGGCUCCAAUCACUUGGAAGAAUCUGAUCGGCGGCCUCUCAACCUUUGCCCUAUCUGCUUACGCAAGCUGCAGGUUGCUAUUGGCUUCAGUGUUGUAGAGAGAUACAGAGCACUGCUGAGGUGGAUUGACGAGGAAUCUAACGACUCGUCACGAGCAACCCCGAGAAAGAGUUCUGACCAUGUGAAUUUGCAAAAACCCGUGGAAGCCUUUCAGGAUUGGAGAGAAUGGAUAAUAAAAUGCAUUGCUGUUCUGGAAAAAUAAGGACUUUGAGAUAGGUGUAACUGAAACAAAUACCGGCACACUAGGUGUUUGUGGCUAGAGUACUUCAUUGGAAUAAACCUUCUACUGGUUCUAUGCUGAGGCCAGGUAACAGACUAGAAGCUUCUGAAGCCCCUGGACCAGAAUAAGGUUGAUGAGAACAAGGAAAACCCUCUCUGCCCUUCUCUCCUGUCUCACUAGCCUGCUCUGUGGCAGUGAGCCCAUCGCUUCCUUGCUUCAAAUUGGAUUAGCUGAAGCUAGAAGAUGAUGAGGUGGGGGCCGGGGUGAAGGACGACUGUAGGUAUCAUUCCUCAGGCUGUCCAGUGAACCCAGGGAUCUACCUGCCUGUUCCUCACCUCCCCUGCCCUCCAUGGGUGCUGGGUAUCCCACUUGGGCCUCUGCCUCCAUGGCAAUCACCUUACCGACUGAGCUGCUUCCAGCUCUGUUUUUCCACUUGGAAUCUAAAUUCUUCCAUUGUUGUAACUUACACAGUGUCAUUAAAAGCACGCUUGACAACCAAACCAGUGGUUUUCCUCAGAUUCGCUUUCAGGUUAAACUCCUUUAAGUCAGUUCUGAAAAUAGCAGCCGUCACUGGCAUCAGCUGGAGACUGUUCAUGGUUGUUCCAACACUGAAAAGAAGCCAGAUGGGUUUCACAGGUCUUGCAUAUGAAGUUUAAUUCUUCCUUGAAUAAUUAAUUAUCCUCCAUUCUUCUACAUUUUCUUUAAUUUUUCUACCAGGUAAAUGCAGUUCUCCAGUGGGUCAACAUUAGUCAUAAACCUAGAAUGGAGAUUUGCCUAGGUUAAAAGAUUGGGAAUUACAAUGAUCUGGACGAGAUAAAAAGGUCCAUCUUAGCCUACUCUGCCAAGGAGCCAGGAAGAAGAACUUUUGGAAGAAAUUACUGUUGAUGAAAAUGGGACUGAACUAAAAGUCACACAACAAACAUUUAUUAAGCAAUCUUCAUUUGAGUGCUGUUAUAACACAUUAGAUUGUAUACACUUUUGGAGAAUUUUAGGAUUAACUUUAUGAUUUGGGGACUGGUGAGCGGGCUCAGCAGGUGAGGGCACCUGCCAUCAAGCCUGAGGACUUGGGUCUGAUUUCUGGGACCCACAUGAUCGAAGGAGAGGGUUAGCUGUCCCAAGUUGUCCUCUGACUCAGUGCGUGCUGUAGCAUAUGUGCACCCAAUAAAAAUGGAGAGAUACACACAGA